GCACCUACCGAUUGAAUGGUUUAGUGAGGACUCCUGAUUGGCGCCGCCGCCCCGGCAACGGAGCAGCGGACUGCCGAAAAGUUGUUCAAACUUGAUCAUUUAGAGGAAGUAAAAGUCGUAACAAGGUUUUCGUAGGUGAACCUGCAGAAGGAUCAAGAUCGGAAGAGCGUCCUUGAGGGAAUGAGUGUAGAUUUCGGUGGUCGGCGGAUCAUUAAAAAACAAAUUGCAUCACUCUUCUAUCUUCUCUAUACUCCAUCCUUCUUACUCUCUUUCAUCU
This 277-nucleotide unclassified non-coding RNA is filed under the name sea anemone metagenome. RNAcentral describes it as "partial contains small subunit ribosomal RNA and internal transcribed spacer 1". The stretch from base 1 to 158 matches the Rfam family "Eukaryotic small subunit ribosomal RNA", at positions 1678 to 1831 of the family's 1831-position model. The record is from RNAcentral.